CCACGAGUAUGUUAUAAAGAGGAGGAGAAUUCUCUGCCGGGACAGAGAGCACAACUGCGAGUCCGCGCUCAUACUUACAUGACUCCGAGUCCGCGAGAGCGUGGAAUUUAACAGGAUUACCGGAGGAGGAGGAGGAGAGUGUGCCUGCACGGAUUUGCAAGAGUCAAUAGUGGCGCAGCGAAUGCAUUUGAAAUGGGAGACACAAGCGUGGAGUUUCUAAGCUGAAGGAUCCUGACAGUGGGAGAGACUAGAAGCGAAAGACCAGGCGACUAAACUCACGAGAAUUCCUCUUCGUCAAGAGGUGCGUAAGAGAUGUUGGACUAAAAUGGAUUCUCGUUUGCUUGGUUAAGCACAGUUCUAGUAGCUCCCUGGCCAGCGCCCUCGACUUUAAAAGUUGCUCGUGAACUUUCCAAGAGAUGAACAUGCAAGCGGGGGCAUCAACGUCGCCGACAGCGAAAUCUAUCGCAUCAAAGGUGUUUUUAUUUUUCCUUCUUUUCUUCCUUUUUGUGUCAGGAAGAAAAAAUGGAUCCGGGGCGCGCUAAUAGGCAGCCACUAAGCCGGAUUAGACACGGAGAAGAGAGAAAAGGUGGCAGGCAGUGGCACGAAACGCAAUCGCAAUCCAGCACAAAACACAACAUAGUCAAGAAAGAUGACGCACCCGACUGGCGGGAUAGCGAUACCGCGCCCGUUGGAUCCGGGCACCAGAACGGACGGCCCACAAUCGAAGUUGGCCCGCCAGCCGUCCGAUCGCGGAUCUCGCAACGGUGAAUGCCUAGAGAUUAUAUCUCUUUUUUGGCGUGGAAAGGGGGGCUCUUUUGUCAAUGCAGCUUGGAUCCUCACAGCUUUCACUUGCAGCACGGAGUGAAAGAGAAAGAGAAAGAGAGAGAGAGAGAGAGCGCUUUCGAGAAAGAAUGGGUGCUCUGAUCGGCCCAGCAACCAGAGCACACACCCAUCCCUCGCGAAGGAAUCAUUUUCUGGAAGAAAUUUUUGGAUCAGCGUGUCA
Molecule: long non-coding RNA, 1003 nt
Organism: Selaginella moellendorffii
Lineage: Eukaryota; Viridiplantae; Streptophyta; Lycopodiopsida; Selaginellales; Selaginellaceae
Exons: 2
Source: RefSeq, a predicted model, not a curated record